GGGGAAGAGAGGGGGGUGGAAAUGGAAGAGGGGGAAGAGAGGGGGAGUGAAAGGGAAGAGGAUCGAGAGAGGAGAAAGAGUGAAGGUCAGGACAGUAGAGAGGGAAGAGAGUGGAGAAAUAGUGAAGGUCAGGACAGUAGAGAGAGAAGAGAGUGGAGAAAUAGUGAAGGUCAGGACAGUAGAGAGGGAAGAGAGUGGAGAAAUAGUGAAGGUCAGGACAGUAGAGAGGGAAAGAGAGUGGAGAAAUAGUGAAGGUCAGGACAGUAGAGAGGGAAGAGAGUGGAGAAAGAGUGAAGGUCAGGACAUUAGAGAGGGAAGAGAGUGGAGAAAUAGUGAAGGUCAGGACAGUAGAGAGGGAAGAGAGUGGAGAAAUAGUGAAGGUCAGGACAGUAGAGAGAGAAGAGAGUGGAGAAAUAGUGAAGGUCAGGACAGUAGAGAGAGAAGAGAGUGGAGAAAGAGUGAAGGUCAGGACAGUAGAGAGGGAAAGAGAGUGGAGAAAUAGUGAAGGUCAGGACAGUAGAGAGAGAAGAGAGUGGAGAAAUAGUGAAGGUCAGGACAGUAGAGAGGGAAGAGAGUGGAGAAAUAGUGAAGGUCAGGACAGUAGAGAGAGAAGAGAGUGGAGAAAUAGUGAAGGUCAGGACAGUAGAGAGGGAAAGAGAGUGGAGAAAUAGUGAAGGUCAGGACAGUAGAGAGAGAAGAGAGUGGAGAAAUAGUGAAGGUCAGGACAGUAGAGAGGGAAGA
RNAcentral lists this long non-coding RNA (741 nucleotides) under Salmo salar (Atlantic salmon). RNAcentral's name for it is "lncRNA (ENSSSAG00000096681.1)". The record is from RNAcentral. Lineage: Eukaryota; Metazoa; Chordata; Actinopteri; Salmoniformes; Salmonidae.